CCUGCACAACUUUGGCCUGAGUAAGAAGUCACUGGAGCAGUGAGAGCCGCCUGCCUGUGUGCUGCUUUGCCUCCCAGAAUGGUGCUGAACGCAGUCCCCAUGCUCCUGUGCAUCCCUGAGGUGUCUGAGAAGGCCUUGCCUGCACAGAAAGCCUUCUUGGAUCUGUUGGAUUAGCUGUUGACCAAGCACAGGACAACUUGGGACCCAGCACAGCCACCUGGAGACCUGACUGAAGCUUUGCUGCAUGAAUUGGAGAAGGU
RNAcentral lists this long non-coding RNA (260 nucleotides) under Cavia porcellus (domestic guinea pig). RNAcentral describes it as "lncRNA (ENSCPOG00000034940.1)". Lineage: Eukaryota; Metazoa; Chordata; Mammalia; Rodentia; Caviidae. The record is from RNAcentral.